AAUCAUUGGGCUUAACCCAAUGGCUGUGCCCGAUACUUGCGUGCUAGAGUGCGGGAGAGGCAAUCGGAAUUCUCGGUGUAGCGGUGAAAUGCGUAGAUAUCGAGAGGAACUCCAGUGACGAAGGUGGGUUGCUGGACCGACACUGACGCUGAGGCGCGAAAGCUAGGGGAGCAAACGGGAUUAGAUACCCCGGUAGUCCUAGCCCUAAACGAUGAAUACUUGGUGUGCGAGUUUUUAGUACUCGCGUGUCGUAGCUAACGCGAUAAGUAUUCCGCCUGGGGAGUAUGGUCGCAAGAUUGAAACUCAAAGGAAUUGACGGGGACCCGCACAAGCGGUGGAGCAUGUGGUUUAAUUCGACGCAACGCGAAGAACCUUACCUGAGUUCAAGAUACGAUGAAGCGCCGGAAUCGGCGUGGCCGCAAGGAGUCGUAUCAGGUGCUGCAUGACUGUCGUCAGCUCGUGUCGUGAGAUGUUGGGUUAAGUCCCGCAACGAGCGCAACCCUCGUCACCAGUUGCUAGCAGUUCGGCUGAGUACUUUGGUGAG
This 544-nucleotide ribosomal RNA is filed under the name uncultured Acidobacteriota bacterium. RNAcentral describes it as "bacterial SSU rRNA". It matches the Rfam family "Bacterial small subunit ribosomal RNA", at positions 598 to 1147 of the family's 1533-position model. Lineage: Bacteria; Pseudomonadati; Acidobacteriota. The record is from RNAcentral.